GGACAGUGCCUGGUGGGUAGUUUGACUGGGGCGGUCUCCUCCCAAAGAGUAACGGAGGAGCACGAAGGUGGGCUAAUCACGGUUGGACAUCGUGAGGUUAGUGCAAUGGCAUAAGCCCGCUUAACUGCGAGAAUGACGGUUCGAGCAGGUGCGAAAGCAGGUCAUAGUGAUCCGGUGGUUCUGAAUGGAAGGGCCAUCGCUCAACGGAUAAAAGGUACUCCGGGGAUAACAGGCUGAUACCGCCCAAGAGUUCAUAUCGACGGCGGUGUUUGGCACCUCGAUGUCGGCUCAUCACAUCCUGGGGCUGAAGUCGGUCCCAAGGGUAUGGCUGUUCGCCAUUUAAAGUGGUACGCGAGCUGGGUUUAGAACGUCGUGAGACAGUUCGGUCCCUAUCUGCCGUGGGCGUUGGAAGAUUGAAGGGGGCUGCUCCUAGUACGAGAGGACCGGAGUGGACGAACCUCUGGUGUUCGGGUUGUGUCGCCAGACGCAUUGCCCGGUAGCUAAGUUCGGAAUCGAUAACCGCUGAAAGCAUCUAAGCGGGAAGCGAGCCCUGAGAUGAGUCUUCCCUGAUACUUUAAGUAUCCUGAAGGGUUGUUCGAGACUAGAACGUUGAUAGGCAGGGUGUGUAAGCGCUGUGAGGCGUUGAGCUAACCUGUACUAAUUGCCCGUGAGGCUUAACCAUACAACAC
This 689-nucleotide ribosomal RNA is filed under the name Vibrio vulnificus. Its description in RNAcentral is "partial 23S ribosomal RNA". It matches the Rfam family "Bacterial large subunit ribosomal RNA", at positions 2249 to 2925 of the family's 2925-position model. The record is from RNAcentral. Lineage: Bacteria; Pseudomonadati; Pseudomonadota; Gammaproteobacteria; Vibrionales; Vibrionaceae.